CAGAUCUGGAAACACAGGAAUGCAGCCAUCUUUGAUGGUGCCCGUCCUUCCACUGACGAGCUUGUGCAGCGGAUCAAAGACGAGGCUCGCCGUUGGGCUAAGGCCGGCGACAAAGGUCUAGAUAGGAUCAUCCAUGUAACUUGA
This 144-nucleotide ribosomal RNA is filed under the name Triticum aestivum (bread wheat). RNAcentral's name for it is "partial small subunit ribosomal RNA". Lineage: Eukaryota; Viridiplantae; Streptophyta; Magnoliopsida; Poales; Poaceae. The record is from RNAcentral.